Non-coding RNA from Triticum aestivum (bread wheat), 133 nucleotides. NCBI's taxonomy places the organism in Eukaryota, Viridiplantae, Streptophyta, Magnoliopsida, Poales, Poaceae. The record is from Rfam.
AAAGUACUCCCUCCGUCCAAAAAUUCUUGUCUCAGAUUUGUCUAGAUACGGAUGUAUCAAGUCACAUUUUAGUUAGAUACAUCUGUAUCUAGACAAAUCUAAUACGAGAAAUUUGGGACAGAGGGAGUAGUUG